CAUUAGAUGACUGAAAGUAAGUAUUGGUCUCUUAAACCAAAUUAUAAUAAAUUAACAAUUAUUUCUAAUGA
RNAcentral lists this transfer RNA (71 nucleotides) under Cybister lateralimarginalis. Its description in RNAcentral is "tRNA-Lys". Lineage: Eukaryota; Metazoa; Arthropoda; Insecta; Coleoptera; Dytiscidae. The record is from RNAcentral. RNAcentral also lists the same sequence under 1 other name.